GGCCCUGACAGACCAGUGGUAGAGACCAUACAUGAGGGCCCUGACAGACUAGUGGUAGAGACCAUACAUGAGGGGCCCUGACAGACCAGUGGUAGAGACUAUACAUGAGGGGCC
RNAcentral lists this long non-coding RNA (114 nucleotides) under Homarus americanus (American lobster). RNAcentral describes it as "uncharacterized LOC121870142, transcript variant X1". Lineage: Eukaryota; Metazoa; Arthropoda; Malacostraca; Decapoda; Nephropidae. The record is from RNAcentral.